GACGAACGUUGGCGGCGUGCUUAAUACAUGCAAGUCCACUGAAGCAGUGGUAGCAAUCUCGCUGUGGAGGUGGCGCACGGGGGAGUAACACGUAGGUAAUCUGCCUUCAGGUCUGGCAUAACUCCGGGAAACCGGGGCUAAUAGCAGAUGAUGCAGCGGCUCGACAUCGAGAUAGUUGUUAAAGCUAUGGCGCCUGAAGAUGAGCCUGCGUCUGAUUAGCUAGUUGGCGGGGUAACGGCCCACCAAGGCAACGAUCAGUAGCUGGUCGGAGAGGAUGAUCGGCCACACUGGAACUGAGACACGGUCCAGACUACUCCGGGAGGCAGCAGUAGGGAAUAUUGCUCAAUGGGAGAAAUCCUGAAGCAGCAACGCAGCGUGAGGGACGAAGGGCUUUUGCUUGUAAACCUCUGUGGUGAGAGAAAAAAAUCCCAAUCUUUGGGACAUGAUGGUAUCUCAAAAGUAAGCCCCGGCUAACUACGUG
RNAcentral lists this ribosomal RNA (481 nucleotides) under uncultured bacterium. Its description in RNAcentral is "partial 16S ribosomal RNA". It matches the Rfam family "Bacterial small subunit ribosomal RNA", at positions 28 to 507 of the family's 1533-position model. The record is from RNAcentral.